GUACGAGAAAGUGGAGCAAUCCAUGAGUACAGUGGCGACCGGGUGAGUAACACGUGACCAACCUACCCUCGAGUGGGGAAUAACUCCGGGAAACCGGAGCUAAUACCGCAUAACAUCUUCGGAAUGCGAAUUCUGUGGAUCAAAGGAGCAAUCCGCUUGAGGAGGGGGUCGCGGCUGAUUAGCUAGUUGGUAGGGUAACGGCCUACCAAGGCGGAGAUCGGUAUCCGGCCUGAGAGGGCGCACGGACACACUGGAACUGAAACACGGUCCAGACUCCUACGGGAGGCAGCAGUGGGGAAUUUUGCGCAAUGGGGGAAACCCUGACGCAGCAACGCCGCGUGGAGGAUGAAGUCCCUUGGGACGUAAACUCCUUUCGACCCGGAAGAUACUGACGGUAUGGGUGGAAGAAGCACCGGCUAACUUUGUGCCAGCAGACGCGGUAAA
RNAcentral lists this ribosomal RNA (444 nucleotides) under uncultured bacterium. Its description in RNAcentral is "bacterial SSU rRNA". It matches the Rfam family "Bacterial small subunit ribosomal RNA", at positions 64 to 524 of the family's 1533-position model. The record is from RNAcentral.